ACAGAAGUUUACAACGCCUGGUAGAGCAAGAGGCUCUCAUGAAAUUAUACGGACUGUGGUCGGUUGAAUAACGGCCCCCAAAGAUAUCCGUGCCCUAGUCGCUGAAACCUGUGAAUAUUUUACACAGCCAAAGGGACUUUGCAGAUACGAUUAAAGCUUUUUUUUUUUUUUUUUUUUUUUUUUUUGAGAUGGACUCUCUCUCUGUCGCCUAGGCUGGAGUGCAGUGGCCUGAUCUCGGCUCACUGCAACCUCAGUCUCCUG
RNAcentral lists this long non-coding RNA (261 nucleotides) under Pan troglodytes (chimpanzee). Its description in RNAcentral is "long non-coding RNA NONPTRT008991". The record is from RNAcentral. Lineage: Eukaryota; Metazoa; Chordata; Mammalia; Primates; Hominidae.